CGGAGGGCAGCAGUGAGGAAUAUUGGUCAAUGGGCGCGAGCCUGAACCAGCCAAGUCGCGUGAGGGAUGACGGUCCUACGGAUUGUAAACCUCUUUUGCCGGGGAGCAAGCGUGCGUUCGUGAACGCGCGUCGAGAGUACCCGGAGAAAAAGCAUCGGCUAACUCCGUGCCAGCAGCCGCGGUAAUACGGAGGAUGCGAGCGUUAUCCGGAUUUAUUGGGUUUAAAGGGUGCGUAGGCGGGAUGCCAAGUCAGCGGUAAAAAUGCGGUGCUCAACGCCGUCGAGCCGUUGAAACUGGCGUUCUUGAGUGGGCGAGAAGUAUGCGGAAUGCGUGGUGUAGCGGUGAAAUGCAUAGAUAUCACGCAGAACUCCGAUUGCGAAGGCAGCAUACCGGCGCCCUACUGACGCUGAGGCACGAAAGCGUGGGUAUCGAACAGGAUUAGAUACCCUGGUAGUCCACGCAGUAAACGAUGAAUGCUAACUGUCCGGCUCGAAUGAGCGCUGG
Molecule: ribosomal RNA, 504 nt
Filed under: uncultured bacterium
Lineage: Bacteria
Description: bacterial SSU rRNA
Rfam family: Bacterial small subunit ribosomal RNA
Source: RNAcentral